Suricata suricatta (meerkat) is the source of this 612-nucleotide long non-coding RNA. RefSeq lists it as uncharacterized. The record is from RefSeq and is a predicted model, not a curated record. Lineage: Eukaryota; Metazoa; Chordata; Mammalia; Carnivora; Herpestidae. The transcript has 3 exons.
UGCUGCAUGUCUGCAUUUAAUGUUUCCGGCUCGAAUGCCACGUUGGCUUGGUGCAGCCACAGCUCCAGCUCAGCCACCUGGGUCUUGCAGGCAUGGAGGAUUUCCGCAGGCUCAGGUCUAGGUUUCUCCACCGUGGCCUCGAAGGCUCCUUGCUCGUCAGAAAAGCCCAGAGCCGCAGCCUUGGGAGGAGGUGUGGCACCCUAAGCCCCCAACCACUAAAUGUAUUACGUUCAGUGUUACCUGAAUGAUGGUUCCAGAGGACGAGGACGCUCUAUCUUCCUCCACGUCCUUGUCAUGCCUCCAGAGUGAAGACCAAGACCCGGAAGAUGGCUCUGCUUUCUUGUCUCCAUUCUAACACAGCAACCAACUAAUUAGCAAAGAGAGAAACGUAAUGUGUCUCCACGUAUAAGUGAGGGCUCUGAAGUCCAGAGAGGUGAUUUCUCCAGGGCCGCAGCUAGCCAGUGACAGAGCACAGACCUGGAUUUCCGGACAUCCCACCCCAUGGUCUCCUGCUCCUGCACACGUUCUGGCACCAACCACCCUCGUCUGUCUGAAGUUAAACUUCCUGUGAUUGCUUUGGGAAGGGACAACUGAAUUAAAAAGGAGUUGGCA